This is a long non-coding RNA of Daucus carota subsp. sativus, 3639 nucleotides long. RefSeq lists it as uncharacterized. Lineage: Eukaryota; Viridiplantae; Streptophyta; Magnoliopsida; Apiales; Apiaceae. The transcript has 7 exons. The record is from RefSeq and is a predicted model, not a curated record.
UUUCUUUCCCUUAAUUUUUCAUUCAAGCAUUGUUUUGACAUUUUCUUAUGGUUCAAUUGUUUAUUAUAAUUAUAACUCUUGAUAAAGAUUUUUGCUUUUGAGUCAGUGAAUUAUAUAGUAAAAGCUGUGAUUGGAUUCUAUUGGUUUUAUAUUAUAACAUUCAUCUCAAUUGCAUUGUUGUUAAUUUUUUGUGUCGAUUUAUGAUAUCGUAAAGGCUUGAUUACUUUUCCGGAAAAACCAAAGCUAUGUGUAUUUCUGAUAUAUUCUUGACAAAGAAGAUAUGGAGUAGAUGAAUAUUUUAUAGAAGUAUGUUUAACUUGAUCAGAUUAAUGUGCUUGAUGUAUAAUUAUUUCGUAUUUAAUAUAGUAAUUUGUUUUAUCAAGAGGAAACACUCGAAUAAACAUAGGAAAGCUUAAAGGUGUUUAAUCAGGAAGGAAAAAAACCAGUAGAAAGAUUGAGUUGGUGGAAAGAAUUUGGAGAAAGGCAUUUGAUGAGUCAAUUCAGUGCCUCCUCCAGUGGCAAAACAAGUGUGAACUUGAACUUCAAACACGAGGAAUGACGGGGAAGGCUAUUUGCACCCUUCUAGUAAUUUUCAGCGAGCUGUGAUUUAGAUGCUCCGACGACCAUCAACUUUUCCGGCGACGGAAAAGAAGUGUAGAGAUUUUCAUGGACGAAUCCGUCCCGUAUCCCGUGUCGUGUCGUGUCAACACGGGUACGGUCGCAGGAGUAGGCGAGUCGGAGUAACACAGUGUAUAUCAAUCUUCAAUAUCAUAGGUGGAUUACUUUCACAAACAAUGAAGAAAAUGCUUCAAAUUUACAAUACCUCUCGAGUCAUCAGACUAAUUUGUCCUGUAGGGGCUUCGACUGAAUUGGGGCUUCUCUAGAACUAGAGCUUCAACAGCUUUUAACUUUAAGUGGGGUUUCGGUUUGCUUGGAUUUAAGUUCUAUAGACAUUCAAGCCGGGGAUCGGAACUCGGAAGCAUUUUCAGACCCAUUGGUCAAAAGGGGAACCAGUGAUUGUUACUAUUGUGCUUGACAGUACAUAUGGUCUAAGCUGGGAACCAAUGGUGAUGUCUCUAGCAAUCCAUGAUAAGUCCCACACUGAUGUGAUUUGUCUUAAAUUGUUUGAGCUGGUGCGAGGAGGAAUAUAGUGUAUGUUCGUUCUUUAAAGGCUAUACAGAGGGUAUACACUUGUCUGCCUGGCCCCAAAUGCUCAAGUUAAAUGACUGGCCUCAAUCUGGUUCGUUUGAUGAUCAUCUCACGUCAUAAUGUGGAGUUCUUAAGUGCUUUGCCGUUCAAGGAGUACACACAUCCACAGAGCGCCUACUUGAACCUUGCUGUCAAGUUACCCGAGGGCAAUCUGAAGCCAGACACAGGGCCAAAGCUGUAUACGCUUAGAUAAUGCACAAACACGCCUAACCAAUAAGCAUCAGAACAUAAAUAGUCUUGGCUAAAAGGUUGAUAGUACAACACGUAACAGAAAAUCUGUAGAUGUCUGUAAAUAGUUAGUUAAAGCCCUGAACAUGCCUCUUGGCAAUAGCUACAAGUGUAGUUUGAUUUUUAACUUAAAAUAGAAUAAGAAAAUAGCUUUUGGUUUCUAUUUUUGCACAUUUUCGGAGCUCUGAGAUUCAUACAUAAUAGUUUUCCUCGAGUUGUUUAACCAUAUGGUUAUAUUGAAUAGGGUUCCUAUCUGUUUUACCUUUUGCAUCCGGUUUUGAUGAGAUUGUACAAUUAUAUACUUGCUUAUAUCAGGCAAGUCAUGGGCUACCAGACUAUGUACUUUUUGUAAUUUGAAUCUUAUUUCUGUAACUUUGGCUUCAUUUUAACUUAUUGCCUCUAUUUCUUGGUUUGUGUGGAUGCAAUAUCUCUUACCUAAUUUCCUGUCCAGUAAAAUGCUGGAGACUAUUAUCCUUAGAAACUGUAACAAAUCUCCUGAUGCAUGCAUCAGCCUGUCAAUCCUUGUAACUAUUUUUGCCUUUUGAAUCCAAAUUCUGACCUGCUUGUUGGUUAUGAAAUGAUAUUGUAAAAUUAUUGUUAAUUUAACUGCCAGAGUAACCUGCCCAAGUUAGUCAUAAGCUAAAACAACUUGUGCCAGUGUGUCGUAUGAAUUCAACUGGCUUGGAUUAUGAUUUUACCAUCUGAACGCUUUUGAUCAAAAAGUGCCUGGCAUUGUAGGAAUAUUUUCUUUACAUAAAUUUUACACCGAGGGAAAUGAGCUGCCUCAUCUGGUUUAUGUUUCUCGUGAGAAGAGGCCUGGAUUCGAACACCACAAAAAAGCUGCUGCUAUGAAUUCUCUUAAAUUUUGGUAAGCUCAGCACCAACCCGCUCUAACCUUCCCUAUGACUGCAACCCCAUGAGGUAUGUUCAAUUUUUGUUGAAGUUAAUAUAAAUAUGAGUGCACCUAUUCAAUAAUGAUUUUGAAGCUCUGAAGAGACUUGGCAAGCCUAGAAAUGGCUAUUUUCUAACUAAAAGCUUUGAUUUACACUAGUUCGUAUAACUUGUGUCUGUGUAGACUCAAAUGAUUCAAAAAAGUGUUACAUCUAAUAUUGCCUAGACAAUAUAUACCCUGCCUAGCAAAUGUUAAGAAUGUACUUCUUUGCCGAUAUAAAUCAACCUUCAUACCUGAUAUCGGCUUGAUCAGGUUGUGAAAAUAAUCUGAUUGACUUCUUUGUCUUGCUUUUUCUCUCUCUUGCCAAAAGAUCCAUGUUUAACUUUAAAAAGAACAUUUACUGAAUGAAACUUUCUUUAAUUUUUAAGUAGACACUUGGUUUUAUUAUAGUUUCUAUAGCACAUAAAAUUUACCUAGCACUUUUUGGAAUUUCAUAAAUCCCUUAAAUAUUAAAUCCUGUUGCCAAAAACCAGCUUUUUUUACACCCCUACCCCAAUAGUUGCACCUUAAUUACAAAAAAUGCCAUCAACCUUUACCAUUUUCACACAACGUUUCUGAUAAAACAAAAAACCCUUAUAAUAAACGAAAGCUUUUGUACCUCAUAUAAGCUUUUGUCCGGGACUCAUACAUACAGAUCUAUAUAUGUUCACAUCAUAUUGCCAUAUCUUUCUUCUCUAUUUCAGAAACAAACGAAAGUGCAGCGGCAGUACUGUCUGCUCUACUUCCCCAUUUGAUUUGUUGUGAUUUCAAAUUCAAAAUUCAAAUUUAUAUCCUCUGAUUAGAUUCAAGCUCAUUUAAAUCUCAUUUCAAGCUCUCUAACCUCGCCUCUCCUGCUCCAAGCGAUUUUACCAAUAUCCAUGAAGUGUUUGAUAAAAUGUGAAGAUUUGGGGGACUUUCUGUCUUCAUGUUUGGUGUGAGUGGAAUUGUGGAGGAAGGAAAAGACGAGGAGGGAACGGAAGGCAAAAAGAUGAGGUAUUUAAUUUGCAGAAAAUGGGGUAUUUGAGACUUGCAAGCUGCGGAUUACUGUCAAAUAUGAUACUGUAUUUUUAUAAUGGAUUACAGGAUGAGCUUGACAAAAGGCCUUGGGUUCAUCAUUGCUUCAAGUGUCUGUCAUUGCAUAAUUACUGUGUAGUUAUUUCUUGUAUGUUACUGUGUAGUUAUUUCUUGUAUGUUGUUUGUAUGUUGUUGUUUGUAGUUAUUUUGCUAAUGGAGUCCCACUAAUAAGAUCAAAACUUAAUUUUUCUUUGAAA